UCAGGAUUAACGCUGGCGGCGUGCCUAACACAUGCAAGUCGAACGAAAUAUCUUCGGAUAUUAGUGGCGAACGGGUGAGUAAUGUACAGGUAAUGUACCUCCGUACUGCGAAUAACAAGCUGAAAAGUUUGCUAAUACGGAAUAGUUUCAUCGAGGGGCAUCCUUUGAUGAAUAAAGAUUUAUCGUGCGGAGAUCAGCCUGUAUCCUAUUAGUUAGUUGGUGGGGUAAUGGCCUACCAAGACGACGAUGGGUAACUGGUCUGAGAGGAUGAGCAGUCACAUUGGAACUGAGAUACGGUCCAAACUCCUACGGGAGGCAGCAGUGAGGAAUUUUGCGCAAUGGGGGGAACCCUGACGCAGCCAACGCCGCGUGAGUGAUGACGGCCUUCGGGUUGUAAAGCUCUGUCGUGUAUGACGAGUAGGGACGGUAAUACACAAGGAAGCCUCGGCUAACUACGUGCCAGCAGCCGC
Molecule: ribosomal RNA, 470 nt
Filed under: uncultured bacterium
Lineage: Bacteria
Description: bacterial SSU rRNA
Rfam family: Bacterial small subunit ribosomal RNA
Source: RNAcentral